CAAAGUGAGAAGGUAUACUACCUACAGAAGAACCCCAAUCAGCUCCUGGACAUGCUGGGGAAGCUGUUUGCAUUUUCUUUCAUCUGGAGUAUUGGAGGUAUGUUCAAGCUCCAGGAGGAUGCUGAUGAUUACGACAUGAUCAGGCGGGGCCAGGACAAGGGGGAGAGGGAUGCCAAUAUCUGUAAUGAGUGUGAUAACUUCAUGCAUGAGUUAUUUGAAGUGGAACCACCACUUGGAGAAUCUGGAGUUGGCAAGUCGGCCAUUAUUAACCACAUGUUAGGCAGACUGGGAUAAGAUGGUGCAACAUCCACUAAGAGUGGCACCGUGCUGGGUCAGAUCCUCAGCUACUCAGACAAGACCAACACGCUACUGGAGAGUAUCUCAAAACUCACAGAAAUGGACAACAAUGACUAGUCCAAAUGUAUCAACGUCCUUCUGGGAACAGCCAAACCUAAAAGUUCUGCUGGAGUGAUCAGUUUUAUGUUUCAGUUCUCAGCUCAGACGACAGCAGCUAGACUUAAGGCUCACAUCAUGCACAAACUCAUCAAGAAGGGCAGGGACACUGGGGGCUCCCUGGGGGAAAAAGGUGCUGGUGUUUGUGGAUGAUUUGAACAUGCCGGCCGCUGAGGUAUAUGGAGCCCAGCCACCCCUAGAGUUACUGAUGCAGUUCUUGGAACUUGGUGGAUUUUAUCAUGCUGGGAAAGCUCAUCUUGUAUGGGAGGAUAUUUAUGACGUCCAUGUGGUGGCAGCCUGUGGACCACUAGGUGGAGGCAGGAACCCCAUCCGUUCAAGGCUCCUAAAACACUUCAGGUCAGGCAGCUUUCUAACUCUGAAUGUAUAAUAUCUAAAUCCCCUCUAGACCAUCUCUCAGUUUAGAAUUGGUGUUGAAUAUGGAAUAUAAAGUGUUUGUGCAAUAUUUGUAUAUGGUGUAGUGCAUGUUACAGAAAUAUUUGUUUUUAUUAGCUCACCUGAGCCUAAGGCUCAAGUGAGCUUUUCUGAUCAAAAUUUGUUCGUUGUCUGUCAUUGUCGUUGUUGCAGUAAUUGUUGUAAACUUUUCACAUUUUCAUCUUCUUCUCAAGAACCACUGGGCCAAUUUCAACCAACCUUGCUACAAAGUAUCCUUGGGUAAAGGGGAUUCAAAUUUGUUCAGCUGAAUGGCAACACCCUCUUCCAAGGGGAGAUAAUUAUGAAUUAGGAAAAAUUAAUGGCAUUUUUAAAAAAUCUUCUCAAGAACCACUGGGCCAGAAAGGAUGAAACUCAUGUGAAAUCAUCCUCAGGUAGUGUAAAUUUAAGAUUCUUCAAAUCAUGACACUCAGGGUAGGGUGUGGCCACAAUGGGUCAUCAAAGUUUUACAUAGGAAUAUAUAGGAAAAAUCUUUAAAAAUCUUCUCAAGAACCAUUGGGACAGGAAAAAUGAAACUCAUGUUGAAUCAUCCUCAGGUAGUGUACAUUCAAGUUUGUUCAAAUCGUGACCCCCCUGGGUAGCCACAAUGGCCAA
Molecule: long non-coding RNA, 1497 nt
Organism: Saccostrea cuccullata (small rock oyster)
Lineage: Eukaryota; Metazoa; Mollusca; Bivalvia; Ostreida; Ostreidae
Exons: 3
Source: RefSeq, a predicted model, not a curated record